RNAcentral lists this ribosomal RNA (458 nucleotides) under uncultured bacterium. RNAcentral describes it as "partial 16S ribosomal RNA". It matches the Rfam family "Bacterial small subunit ribosomal RNA", at positions 338 to 795 of the family's 1533-position model. The record is from RNAcentral.
CCUACGGGAGGCAGCAGUGAGGAAUAUUGGUCAAUGGGCGAGAGCCUGAACCAGCCAAGUCGCGUGAGGGAGUACUGCCCUAUGGGUUGUAAACCUCUUUUGUCGGGGAGCAAAAGCCGGACGUGUCCGGCUGUGAGAGUACCCGAAGAAAAAGCAUCGGCUAACUCCGUGCCAGCAGCCGCGGUAAUACGGAGGAUGCGAGCGUUAUCCGGAUUUAUUGGGUUUAAAGGGUGCGUAGGCGGAAUGCCAAGUCAGCGGUAAAAUCGCGGGGCUCAACCUCGCUCCGCCGUUGAAACUGGCGUUCUUGAGUGGGCGAGAAGUAUGCGGAAUGCGUGGUGUAGCGGUGAAAUGCAUAGAUAUCACGCAGAACUCCGAUUGCGAAGGCAGCAUACCGGCGCCCAACUGACGCUGAAGCACGAAAGCGUGGGUAUCGAACAGGAUUAGAUACCCUUGUAGUC